UGUACACUCUGCACGUGUGGUGUCCCCCAGCUUGGGUUUGGCCUCUAAGGGAGGCUGGAGAGGCCUGGGCUUGCCAGCCUGUGUUCGGGGCCUUUGCUGCAAGUUUUCUGUUACUAAAGGGUGAGGAGCCUUCUUCCUGAGAACUUGGGCCCUUGAGGACUUUCAGUCCGACCCUUCCCACAGACCUCAUACAAUGCUCACGGACUAGCUUCCUCCAGAGGACCAAGGACACCAGGCAGCUGGCUGUGUGAAGAGUGCUCUGUGCGGGAAUGCCCGGUGGUGGUCACCCUGAGCUGUCAGCAGAGGUCGGUGCCCCCAGCACAGCUGUUUUAUUACCUCCUGCUGUCUUACCUUCUCCUGUACCUGGUUAUAUUUUAUUCCAUACUGGAUAUUCUGUUUAAAUACUGUUUGGACAAAUAACUUGAUGUAAUCUUCAUAGGAAAGGAUUUUUUGCUUAUGACACCCACCUGGGAGUGCUACAUCCCCAGGUGAUGGUGAGACUGACGUACAGUCCACGUGGCUCACUGAAUUCUGGAGCACCUUUACUCCACAGGGAGGCCUCUCUGAGGUCCCUGUCCGAGGGACGGGGUAGUUUACUCCCUCUGUCCCUGGUGGGUACCAGACUUUGACUUUGGUCUCUCAGUCCCAGCACGUCACCACACGUGCAGCCUGGCCUCUCCCAGCCUUUUCUGGGGGCCUUCUAUUUUAUCAUACUUAAUUCUUCGACCCUUGCGAUGGAAGUGCCGUUUCAUAUAACUAAGGGGUGGUGCUGCUCUCCAGGAACCUAGGAAAGGGGUGUAUUAACAAGAACUCCUAAUGUCAGGCAAACUGAUUUGAGGGCUAAAAGUGAAAGUAACCUGGAGGACUCGCACAGGAGAUACUCAUUCUUACCAGGGGGCUUUAGGAAAGCGUCGUGGUGUAGGUAUUAUUGGAACAGAUGUUACAUUGGAGAGGCUUUGAAGGAUGUGAACAAUUUCCAGAAGCAACUGAGCAGAAGGUAGAGUAACCUAGGGGAUGUGAGCGUGGGCUAUGGGGGGCUGAUGGUGCGUUCAAAUCAUGAGUCUGCUGACAUUCUUGUGGCUUUGAGCAAGUUGCUGAGACCCUCAGCUUCAGUUUUCUCAUUUUGAAAAUGGGACAAUAAUACCUCUUAAAAUGUUGACGGCCACAUAAGUUCCGAUAUGUUCAGUGGCUGCCUUGUAGUGAGAACUCGGUAGAUCGUAGCUAUUAUGAAGCAGAUGGGUGUUUCGGGAGAAAAAAGUGAGCAGAGAGGAGAUGGCGGAAGGGAAGCGGGGUAAGGACUUAGUCAGCCUCAUUGGCGCACAUUUUAAAAGUUGGAUUAUUCUCAGAUGUUUCCAAAGCUGGCACUGGACGUGAAUGUAAAACCCAGAAAACGAUUAAGUCUCAAGUCAAAUCUCUUACAUUCUACACUUUCUCUAUGAUGCGUUAUGCGUGGAGAGCAUUUUCUGAAGGGAGGAACUACACUGGUGGUAACCCUGUCACUUUUUUUUUCUCUAUGAUUCAAACUCCGUACAUACAGAUAGAAAAUGAAAGGAAGGGAGGCGAGGUUGGCGUCGGCCCUGCGCUGCCCCUCCAAUCGCAUGCGCAUACUGGUCGACACUGCGCAGCCGCAGAGACAUUUUAAGUGGUCACAUUUGCGCGGCUUCCAUCUGGCGCCUCGGUCUACUGCAGUCCUUUCGUGUGCGCAGUCGCAGUGCAGACGCCGAGCCGACGGCGAUCCUGAGGCGCUCCGAGUCGACGGCGAUCCUGAGGAGCUCAGCGGCAACGGCGAUCCUGAGGCGCUCAGAGCCAGGCUCUCAGACUCACAAUGUUUGAGGAGCAGGAUCAUAUCACUGUAACUCUUGGAGAUGACAGUGCUGACAGUGAGGACACCUCUCACUGUAGUGACCGUGACAACAGCUCUGAUGUUGUGAUAAUAGAAGAUUCUGACUCAGAGCUUAGUGAGAAUGGACUUCCCACGGACAGCGUGUCAACCGAUCAACCAAAUUUUCAAGGCAGGGGUGAUAACCAUCGGCAGCUAUCCCAAAUGCCACACGGAGCAGAAGUUUUGCCAAGCCAAGGUGACCAAGGAGUUUCGCAAGUGAGCUUUCCCGGAAGUUUCAAAAGCUACCGCUCGCGCCCAGGGGACAUGGAGCCUGUCCCUGCGCCCAACACACGAGGAUCAUCUCCUCCAA
Long non-coding RNA from Manis pentadactyla (Chinese pangolin), 2192 nucleotides. RefSeq lists it as uncharacterized. Lineage: Eukaryota; Metazoa; Chordata; Mammalia; Pholidota; Manidae. The transcript is spliced from 3 exons. The record is from RefSeq and is a predicted model, not a curated record.